This is a small nucleolar RNA of Cornus florida, 87 nucleotides long. RefSeq annotates it as small nucleolar RNA snoR114. The transcript has a single exon. Lineage: Eukaryota; Viridiplantae; Streptophyta; Magnoliopsida; Cornales; Cornaceae. The record is from RefSeq and is a predicted model, not a curated record.
GAACAGUGAAGAGAUGUUUGCGUUCAAUGUGAGGAUUGGGUUUCUCACGAGCUUCCGAUUCCGGAAGAAAACUGCGCAUCUGAGUUC